AGAUUCCUACGGGAGGCAGCAGUAGGGAAUCUUGCGCAAUGGACGAAAGUCUGACGCAGCCAUGCCGCGUGAAUGAUGAAGGUCUUAGGAUUGUAAAGUUCUUUAGCCUGUGACGAUGAUGACGGUAACAGGAGAAUAAGCCCCGGCUAACUUCGUGCCAGCAGCCGCGGUAAUA
Molecule: ribosomal RNA, 175 nt
Filed under: uncultured bacterium
Lineage: Bacteria
Description: partial 16S ribosomal RNA
Rfam family: Bacterial small subunit ribosomal RNA
Source: RNAcentral